CCAGAGAUGGUGGGCCCCGCGCCCCCGUCCCCAACCCUUUGUUGACCUAAAAAAACCUUUUGCCUCGGGGGCAGAGCGGCCGCCACGGGCGCCGCCCCCGGAGGACCACCAAACGCUGUCUCUGUACGUCGGAGUCUUUUGAUUAAAUAAAUCA
RNAcentral lists this unclassified non-coding RNA (154 nucleotides) under uncultured Capnodiales. Its description in RNAcentral is "sequence contains ITS1". Lineage: Eukaryota; Fungi; Ascomycota; Dothideomycetes; Capnodiales. The record is from RNAcentral.